UACGAAGGGGGCUAGCGUUGCUCGGAAUCACUGGGCGUAAAGCGCACGUAGGCGGACUCUUAAGUCGGUGGUGAAAUCCUGGAGCUCAACUCCAGAACUGCCUUCGAUACUGAGAGUCUCGAGUCCGGGAGAGGUGAGUGGAACUGCGAGUGUAGAGGUGAAAUUCGUAGAUAUUCGCAAGAACACCAGUGGCGAAGACGGCUCACUGGCCCGGUACUGACGCUGAGGUGCGAAAGCGUGGGGAGCAAACAGG
RNAcentral lists this ribosomal RNA (253 nucleotides) under uncultured bacterium. RNAcentral's name for it is "partial 16S ribosomal RNA". It matches the Rfam family "Bacterial small subunit ribosomal RNA", at positions 524 to 776 of the family's 1533-position model. The record is from RNAcentral.